This 253-nucleotide ribosomal RNA is filed under the name uncultured bacterium. RNAcentral describes it as "partial 16S ribosomal RNA". It matches the Rfam family "Bacterial small subunit ribosomal RNA", at positions 524 to 776 of the family's 1533-position model. The record is from RNAcentral.
UACGAAGGGGGCUAGCGUUGUUCGGAUUUACUGGGCGUAAAGCGCACGUAGGCGGAUUCUUAAGUCAGGGGUGAAAUCCCGAGGCUCAACCUCGGAACUGCCUUUGAUACUGGGGAUCUCGAGUUCGGGAGAGGUGAGUGGAAUUGCGAGUGUAGAGGUGAAAUUCGUAGAUAUUCGCAAGAACACCAGUGGCGAAGGCGGCUCACUGGCCCGGUACUGACGCUGAGGUGCGAAAGCGUGGGGAGCAAACAGG